CGUUAUUAUUACAAUUACUUUAAAUUGUAAUGCACUACAUUUUCCAUAUCUUCGCAGUAAUACAAAACACAGUCACUUGUAGAACUGGUUCAGAUUACUUAAAUACCAAGUGUGCUGUCACUCCUCUACACAAGUGUCUGGAAGUUACUCGUGUUUCUAUGAAAUGAAGCUAUUGAUACUUUUCUACAGCAGUAACUGCACACCAGGAAGGCG
This 213-nucleotide long non-coding RNA is filed under the name Mus musculus (house mouse). RNAcentral's name for it is "long non-coding RNA chr13:13231766-13231979". The record is from RNAcentral. Lineage: Eukaryota; Metazoa; Chordata; Mammalia; Rodentia; Muridae.